CAUGCUAUUGUUGAUGGAGCACUGCCUGUCUCAAUUUUAGAAAGAAGGUCUUUCAUAGACCUCUUGCAGACCAGUGGCAUGAAGAUAAUGAGCAGGCAAGCAGCUGUAAAAAAAUUGAAGGAGCAUUAUGGUGAAGUGGUACACAAAAUCAAGUCGGAAAUGGCCUCCGUAAAACACUUCUGUACAACCGGGGAUAUUUGGUCUGGGAACCACCGGAGCUUUUUGGGGUAUACUUGCCAUUGGCUCACAGAGAACCUGGAACGCAAGUCGGCUGCUCUUGCUUGCAGGAGAAUAUUCGGCGUGCACUCAGCUGAAAAAAUUGCGCAAAUCAUUGCCGAAAUUAAUGCCGGCUUUGGUCUGAGCCCGUAGAAUGUUAUUAUGACGGUGACAGACAAUGGAUCCAAUUUUGUUAAGGCUUUCAAGGAGUACGGGUGUACGGAAACUGAAACUUCUCAUGAAGAUGAAAGCGAAAACGAUUUGCCAGUUUUCCAAAACGAGCUGCUGCUGCCAAAGCAUCUUCGAUGAUGCAGCCACACGCUGAAUUUACUUGCUUCCGCCGAUUACGUGAAGAUUUUGAGAAGUGAGCAGGCUUUGUAUAUCUAACAUUCGAUGACAUUCGAAAAAUGCAACACCUUGUGGAGGAAGUGCAAAUGGCCGAAGUCGUCGGAAAUUAUUGUGGAAUGCUUGGGAUCGACAUUGCUUGGGCCCGUUGUAACUCGGUGGAAUUCACUCUUCGACGCAGUAACGAAGUUACUUAGGGCCAAGGACAAGUUGAAUCCUUUGUGCGAAAGACUCAGCUUGUCACAGUUUUCUCCGAGCGGUUUGCAGUAUUUGGAGAUGUACCAGUUGUUGAUGGGGCCUAUUGCUCGUGCCUUGGACUACCUUCAAGGAGAAAAUAACGUGAAUUACGGCUGCUUAAUUCCGACUCUGAUGACCCUCAGCAAUAGAUUAAAUAAGCUGCAAAACAAGCCAGAAAUGCAGCAAGUUUCCUCUGUGGUUGCUAAGUUGGAGCAGCGUUUGAGAGAUCGGUUUGACGCAUUUUUUACUUUAAAACCGGAGGCCAAUAUAGCACUAGCGGCAACUGUACUAACUCCAGAUAUUAAAAUGAGCUGGGUCAAGGUGUUGUAAAGGAUAAAACUGGAGGUGACAGCAGCGGACAUAAGUACCUGGGUUUUAAACACAAUUUGCGAUUUCUAUGCAAAAGAUAAUCGUGCUUUCAAUGCACAAAUAUUGAAAAGUAAUGAAUUAUUUGCAAAUAAUAGGCAUUUUGAUUUUGACCUCAACGACACAGAUAACGAAGAAGGAACAAAUGCUACUCCUGAGCCAAGUGCUAGUGAUCGUCCGGCUUUUUUGACCCAUCACUUUUUCUGUUACUUAAAUGACAAUUCAAGAACAGACGACACUUGAGUAAAACAUUGCUGUCUAAAAGAAGCUUUUGUUGCCUUUAGUACUCCCCUGACAUCCUCAGCACCAGUAGAGAGGCUAUUUUCCUUUGCGGGGAUAGUGAACAGUCCAAGGCGCCAGUCAAUGUCGGACUUAUCAUUUGAGAAAUUGGUGUUAUUGAAAGCAAAUUCUAAAUGGAGUUAAUGUAUAUUUUUCUUGUUAUUUUGUUGUAAAUGAAUUUUGUUAUU
Bactrocera neohumeralis is the source of this 1631-nucleotide long non-coding RNA. RefSeq lists it as uncharacterized. Lineage: Eukaryota; Metazoa; Arthropoda; Insecta; Diptera; Tephritidae. The record is from RefSeq and is a predicted model, not a curated record. The transcript has 4 exons.